UAGAAUAAAAUAGCAAGAGAACCAGAGGUC
Molecule: non-coding RNA, 30 nt
Filed under: Rattus norvegicus (Norway rat)
Lineage: Eukaryota; Metazoa; Chordata; Mammalia; Rodentia; Muridae
Source: RNAcentral